RNAcentral lists this transfer RNA (73 nucleotides) under compost metagenome. RNAcentral describes it as "tRNA-Phe". It matches the Rfam family "tRNA". From Rfam's summary of the family: Transfer RNA (tRNA) molecules are approximately 80 nucleotides in length. Their secondary structure includes four short double-helical elements and three loops (D, anti-codon, and T loops). Further hydrogen bonds mediate the characteristic L-shaped molecular structure. tRNAs have two regions of fundamental functional importance: the anti-codon, which is responsible for specific mRNA codon recognition, and the 3' end, to which the tRNAs corresponding amino acid is attached (by aminoacyl-tRNA synthetases). tRNAs cope with the degeneracy of the genetic code in two manners: having more than one tRNA (with a specific anti-codon) for a particular amino acid; and 'wobble' base-pairing, i.e. permitting non-standard base-pairing at the 3rd anti-codon position. The record is from RNAcentral.
GGCUGGGUGGUAGACCGGUUCAUAUGCGUGGUUGAAGCCCACGAGAAGCCAGUUCGAUUCUGGCCCCAGCCAC